UACGGAGGGUGCGAGCGUUAAUCGGAAUUACUGGGCGUAAAGCGCGCGUAGGUGGUUGCGUAAGUCGAUUGUGAAAUCCCCGGGCUUAACCUGGGAAUUGCAGUCGAUACUGUGCAGCUAGAGUGUGGUAGAGGAAAGCGGAAUUCCGGGUGUAGCGGUGAAAUGCGUAGAUAUCCGGAGGAACACCAGUGGCGAAGGCGGCUUUCUGGACCAACACUGACGCUAAGGCGCGAAAGCGUGGGGAGCAAACAGG
This 253-nucleotide ribosomal RNA is filed under the name uncultured bacterium. RNAcentral's name for it is "partial 16S ribosomal RNA". It matches the Rfam family "Bacterial small subunit ribosomal RNA", at positions 524 to 776 of the family's 1533-position model. The record is from RNAcentral.